UACGUAGGGCGCAAGCGUUGUCCGGAAUUAUUGGGCGUAAAGAGCUCGUAGGCGGCCUGUUGCGUCCGCUGUGAAAUCCCGGGGCUCAACCCCGGGCCUGCAGUGGAUACGGGCUGGCUAGAGGCAGGCAGGGGAGAACGGAAUUCCUGGUGUAGCGGUGAAAUGCGCAGAUAUCAGGAGGAACACCAAUGGCGAAGGCAGCUCACUGGGACGGUAUUGACGCUGAGACGCGAAAGCGUGGGGAGCAAACAGG
Molecule: ribosomal RNA, 253 nt
Filed under: uncultured bacterium
Lineage: Bacteria
Description: partial 16S ribosomal RNA
Rfam family: Bacterial small subunit ribosomal RNA
Source: RNAcentral